ACAGCUGAAUAACCUUCUGUCUUAAAUGUUAUUAGCAAGCCUUCUCUAUUUGUUUUUUUAAAAAUAGAAUGGAUGGAACUGUAUUAUAGGUUGAAUUGUGUCCCUCCAAAAUCUAUAUCUUAACGUCCUAAUCCCAGUACCUCAAAAUGUGCACAUAGUUGGCAACAGGGACAUUGUAGAUAUAGUUACUCAAGGUGAGGUAAUUAGGGUGAACUCUGAUGUGACUAGUGUUCUUACAAAAAGAAUGGUGUGAGGAGAAGAGACAUACAGAGGAAAGCCCGUGAAGACGCAGGCAGAAAACCAUCAUCUGCAAGUCAAAGAGCGAGGCUUCUAAAGGAACCAACCCUGCUAAGACGUUGAUUUUGGACUUCUUACCUCCAGAGCUACACUGGGUUUUGGCAUGUUGCCCAGGCUGGUUUCGAACUUCUGGACUCAAGCGAUCCGCCCACCUCGUCCUCCCAAAGUGCUGGGAUUUCAGACAGGGUCCUGCUUGCCUCAUCACCCAGGCUGGAGUAUAGCAGCACAAUCAUAGCUGACUGCAGUCUCAAACUCCUGAGCUCAAGUGAUCCUCCCGUCCAGCCUACCGCGUAGUUGAAACUGCAGUUCCAGGAUCCCAUCCAGGAUACAAUAUUAUAUUUAGUUGCCAUGUCUCCUUGGGCUCCUCCUGGCUGUGACAGAUUAUCAGGCUUUCCUCGUAUUGAUGAUCUUGACAAUUCUGGGGAGUCCUGGUCAGGUAUUUGUGGAAUGUUUAUCAAUUGGAAUUUGUCUGUUUGUUUUUUCAUUUUUAGAUUGGGGUCAUCCAUUUUUGGGGCGAAGAUCACAGAAGUGAAGUGUCAUUCUCAUCACAUCAUAUCAAGGAUACGUACUAUCUGUACAACUUAACAGUGUUGACGUUGACCUUAAUCACCUGGCUGAGCUCAGAAAGUAGAAACAGCACUGCAGACUGCGGAGGUCAAGAACACUGGGCUACUUCUUCCCCCAAUUCCCAGUGGGAGCACUUUCUUUCUGAGAGGAGUAGGAUGUCAGUGUUUGUCAUCCUGCCACCAAAUACCUGUUCCGGAAGCUAAAUUUUGGCACCUGUUGUUUCCUGACUUUUUAAUGAUCGCCAUUCUAACUGGUGUGAGAUGGUAUCUACAGAAUGGGAGAAAAUUUUUGCAAUCUACUCAUCUGACAAAGGGCUAAUAUCCAGAACCUACACAGAACUCAAACGAAUUUACAAGAAAAAAACAGACAACCCCAUCAAAAAGUGGGCAAAGGAUAUGAACAGACAUUUCUCAAAAGAAAUAUAGCCAACAGACACAUGAAAAAAUGCUCAUCAUCACUGGCCAUCAGAGAAAUGCAAAUCAAAACCACAAGGAGGUCUUGAGAACAUGUGCCCAAGGUGGUUGAGGUACAGCUUGUUUUUAUAUAUUUUAGGAAGGCAUGAGACAUCAAUCAAAUACAUUUAAGAAAUACAUUGGUUUGGUUCAAAAAGGCGGGAUGACUGAAAGCAAUGGGGUACAGGUGGCCUUCCAGGCGGUAGGUCAACUUAAACAUUUUCUGGUUGACGAUUGUUUACUUUAUCUGAAGACCUGGGAUUAAUGGAAAGGAAUGUUCAUGUUAAGGUAAAGAAUUGUGGAGACCACGUUUUAUUGUGCAAAGGAAUCUCUCAGAUAGAGGUCUCCAGAGAGACAGCAGGUUGUAAAAUGUUUCUUAUCAGACCUAAAAGCUUGCCUGGCUCUUCUUAGUUGAUUAUCUCCUGGAUCUGGGAAAGAAGGAAGGAAAACAAAGGAGAAAGGAGAUUUCCUAUAGAAUGUGGAUUUUUGUCACAAGAGACUUUGCAGGACAAUUUUAAGGUAUGGCAAAGAAAUAUAUUUUGAGGUAAAACAUUGUGAUUUUCUUCCUUGUUAUGCCAGAGUCCGAUUGGAAAGUAAGUCAUGAUAUACAGGGCCAAAUGAAACCCAUCUGAUGAGAACUUAUGGUUUAUAGGGCAUGACUCCCCAGACCCCUUAGAUAGGAAUUUGGGCAAGAUAAAAAAUCAGAGCUUAGUCCUCAAAGGGAACCUGAAUAAGAUAAAUAAGUGACUUCUCCACAGAAAGGUAGUAAGAUAACAUAUUUAAAGACUCCUAUCCAGCAAAGCUAUCCUUUGAAAAAUAAAAUAAACUUAUUCCCAGAUAACUGAAAUAAUUUGUUACAAGAAAUACUAAGGGAAGUUCUUCAAACUGAAAACAGAUGAUGACAGAUGGUAAUUUGAAUCCACUAGAAGAAAGGAAGAGCACUGGUAAAGUAAUUAUGUAAUUAUAAAAGAUAGUUAAACGUGUAUUUUUCUCAUUUCUCAUCUUAGCUAAUAUGAAAAGCAAUUAUAUAAAGUAAUAUGUACCAUAAAGUAUUGUUAAGCCAAUAACAUAGAGAAAUGUAAUACAUUUGCAUUAUGGUACCAAAAACAACAUAAAGGAAGUGGGUGGGAACAAAGCUGUUUUGGGCUAAGAAAAUGACUGCAAGUGGUAAAUUAAUAGUUACAACUAUGUGUUAAGUUUGUAACAUUAAUAGAUGUAACAUGUGUAAUCAUAAUGCUACAAAAAGAGGAAAAGGGAAUGUAAGGGUUAACAUUUUUGUAUUAUAUACUAUAAAUAUAUAUGGCUUCAGUAACAAAGAAGCAAUACAGAUAAAGCAAAAACUGAUAAAAAUAAAGGAUGAAAUAGACAAGCG
This 2688-nucleotide long non-coding RNA is filed under the name Macaca fascicularis (crab-eating macaque). Its description in RNAcentral is "lncRNA (ENSMFAG00000061147.1)". Lineage: Eukaryota; Metazoa; Chordata; Mammalia; Primates; Cercopithecidae. The record is from RNAcentral.